GCCUUUGUUCUUCACCGCAAGAACUAAUUUGCAAUGUGAAACAGCCUAAAAGGAUUUUGAAAAUCGAUUGUUGGAUUUGGACAUUCAGGGCUAUUAGUACGAGCCAGAAUACAGCCAGGAAGAAUUUACACAAAUAGAGGAGGAGGCUGCUGCGGCUGCAGCUGAACAAGCUUGCCUUCCCUGUGCUGCAGCGAAUUUCAGCGAUGCCAGUUUAUUCUAGAAUAAAUGGCUGAAUCUGGCGAGGACAGGGCCAUGUGUGCAACCUCUCACCCAGGCUUUACGCCUCAUCUGAACAGUCGGGUAUUGGAUACAUAUUUCCGGACCCAGAAAGUGAACUGGAAACGCCAGCCAAAGCCCGCCGGGAGAAACAGACGUCUGAGCAUAGAACAGUAUCGGCUUCCUGUGUUGUCCAGGCCAUCAGAGCUAAUUACCCAGCACAAGAUGGGCAGUACCGUGGCUACCAGGAGACAG
Long non-coding RNA from Gadus macrocephalus (Pacific cod), 471 nucleotides. RefSeq lists it as uncharacterized. The record is from RefSeq and is a predicted model, not a curated record. The transcript has 3 exons. Lineage: Eukaryota; Metazoa; Chordata; Actinopteri; Gadiformes; Gadidae.